GCAGCAGGCGCGCAAAUUACCCAAUCCCGAUACGGGGAGGUAGUGACAAUAAAUACUGAUACGGGGCUCUUUUGGGUCUCGUAAUUGGAAUGAGAACAAUUUAAAUCCCUUAACGAGGAACAAUUGGAGGGCAAGUCUGGUGCCAGCAGCCGCGGUAAUUCCAGCUCCAAUAGCGUAUAUUAAAGUUGUUGCAGUUAAAAAGCUCGUAGUUGAACCUUGGGUCUGGCUGGCCGGUCCGCCUCACCGCGAGUACUGGUCCGGCUGGACCUUUCCUUCUGGGGAACCUCAUGGCCUUCACUGGCUGUGGGGGGAACCAGGACUUUUACUGUGAAAAAAUUAGAGUGUUCAAAGCAGGCCUUUGCUCGAAUACAUUAGCAUGGAAUAAUAGAAUAGGACGUGCGGUUCUAUUUUGUUGGUUUCUAGGACCGCCGUAAUGAUUAAUAGGGAUAGUCGGGGGCGUCAGUAUUCAGCUGUCAGAGGUGAAAUUCUUGGAUUUGCUGAAGACUAACUACUGCGAAAGCAUUCGCCAAGGAUGUUUUCAUUAAUCAGUGAACGAAAGUUAGGGGAUCGAAGACGAUCAGAUACCGUCGUAGUCUUAACCAUAAACUAUGCCGACCAGGGAUCGGGCGAUGUUAUCUUUUUGACUCGCUCGGCACCUUACGAGAAAUCAAAGUCUUU
This 678-nucleotide ribosomal RNA is filed under the name uncultured fungus. RNAcentral's name for it is "SSU rRNA". It matches the Rfam family "Eukaryotic small subunit ribosomal RNA", at positions 425 to 1108 of the family's 1831-position model. The record is from RNAcentral. Lineage: Eukaryota; Fungi.